GACGAACGCUGGCGGCGUGCCUAAUACAUGCAAGUUGAGCGCUGAAGGUUGGUACUUGUACCCACUGGAUGAGCAGCGAACGGGUGAGUAACGCGUGGGGAAUCUGCCUUUGAGCGGGGGACAACAUUUGGAAACGAAUGCUAAUACCGCAUAAAAACUUUAAACACAAGUUUUAAGUUUGAAAGAUGCAAUUGCAUCACUCAAAGAUGAUCCCGCGUUGUAUUAGCUAGUUGGUGAGGUAAAGGCUCACCAAGGCGAUGAUACAUAGCCGACCUGAGAGGGUGAUCGGCCACAUUGGGACGGAGACACGGCCCAAACUCCUACGGGAGGCAGCAGUAGGGAAUCUUCGGCAAUGGACGAAAGUCUGACCGAGCAACGCCGCGUGAGUGAAGAAGGUUUUCGGAUCGUAAAACUCUGUUGGUAGAGAAGAACGUUGGUGAGAGUGGAAAGCUCAUCAAGUGACGGUAACUACCCAGAAAGGGACGGCUAACUACGUG
This 497-nucleotide ribosomal RNA is filed under the name uncultured bacterium. Its description in RNAcentral is "partial 16S ribosomal RNA". It matches the Rfam family "Bacterial small subunit ribosomal RNA", at positions 28 to 507 of the family's 1533-position model. The record is from RNAcentral.